UUCACGGCUCACUCGGCUCUGUGACUGCGCUGUGCCCAAAGAGCCACCAGGGGGCACUCUUCGCUGUUGAAUGCCGCCAGAUGGAACAGCUUUCCCGGGGCAACGGCUCUUAUCGAGGGGUAGCAGGCAGCCAAUGGCCCUCAGUAGAUAGCCGGCUGGUUGUCGAGCCGUGCCCAAUCGGGGCGCCCGCGGGUCACAUUUAGGGGCCCGUCUGGAGUCCUUUCAUGCUAAAUUGGAUGAAGGCAGAAGCACUGGAGCUGAGCGGAGUGGAGAUGUCACAGCGCUCUCCGGCCUGUGUGCGGAGGCCAGACGCUUCAGCUCCAAGAGGAGAGAAAGAUGAAUGAGUCCGGGUGCCGUGGAAUCCAGUGGCGGUGGAGAUUCUGUCCUUUUUAGCUUCCAUAACCGCAAUCCCACCUCCAAAAAGCAUUCAGCGCUGUAAAAAAAAACCCCACUAUUUUGAGCUACAACAAUACUUUGGGAUAUCAUACACUCACAAAAAGAAAGCAUGCUACAAACCAGCAAUAAGGACGGAUAAAUCCAUUUUUUUUUUUUUUAGAUAAGCUGUGUUACGUGUGGAAGAGGAACCUUUUUUCCCUCGACUCUGCUGCUGCGAUAGUGAGGAGCACCUGCACAUAGAUGAGAGGAGGGCGCCUCCCUGUAAGCAGGCAACAAAGCCAAUCUCCCACAGGACUCUUUCUGCGACGUCCCGCCUCUCUUUGGAGGUGUUGUACAGUCGCACAUCCGUCAGCAGAGGCCGUCCCAGUGUGUCUCGCAGCUCUGCACUGGUCCCAUGAAUAAAUCUGUGCCUUCCUGCGCCCUGAUGCCUCUGAGAAGCGACUUGCACGUCGUCUCACGCGGUAAUGACUCUCUUGUCAUUCAUUGUGCACACAGAAGAUCCCUCAGAGCGGUAAAACAUCUGCUCGGCGUCUGGAGUUUCCGCGGAGGAAAAAUCAGGGACAAUCAUAUUGUCUGUGUGUAAACACUCGAUAGAGC
Long non-coding RNA from Gasterosteus aculeatus aculeatus (three-spined stickleback), 993 nucleotides. Lineage: Eukaryota; Metazoa; Chordata; Actinopteri; Perciformes; Gasterosteidae. The record is from Ensembl.